Long non-coding RNA from Tympanuchus pallidicinctus (lesser prairie-chicken), 2936 nucleotides. RefSeq lists it as uncharacterized. The transcript has 7 exons. The record is from RefSeq and is a predicted model, not a curated record. NCBI's taxonomy places the organism in Eukaryota, Metazoa, Chordata, Aves, Galliformes, Phasianidae.
UCAUUCUUUGCUGCAGAUAUGGUUAAAGCCCUGUAAGAAAGCAGAUGUUCCACAACCACGCAGUUACCUGGCUCCAGUGUACAAGACCAGUGAGCGAAGAGGAAUCCUGUCAACCACUGGCCAUUCCACCGACUUUGUCACUGCGAGGACCCUUCCUUCCAACAAACCGCAGGAACACUGAAUCAAACGUUAUUUUGUCAGCUUAUUUCACAAACCUACUGCAAUUACUGAGGGUUCCUUUACUAGAUCACCUGUGAGGAACACGUGUCAGUCCUGAAUGGCUGCAAUAUCAAAAGGUCUGAGAAUAGCGAGGUUCAUCAUGCACGCCACAUGUAAUUCAGGAAGAAUUUCACAGACGUCUUUAGAAAGCUCUGAAAGCUGGGCCUGUUACUCAACUGCAAGGAAAACAUCAAACAGUACUGACAAAAGUGCUAAGUAAACGCAGAUGUGGAAGACUUAAAAAUAAAUCUUCCAAAACGCCUUACAGGACCACUAGGCAAGACUAAGAGAUCGCUACUGUCGCUGAUAUCAAGAAAGUAAUCUCGGUGGAAACAGACAAUAGAGCAGAGAUUAUCAGAGCUGAUGACCUUUUAAUGCCUGCAGUGAUUUAACAGUGCCGCUAGCCUUUGGAGACAGGGAGAUCUGUCCUGUGAUCGCUUAUAAAAUACUACCCAAGUUACUCAAGGUAUCCUAUGUGUGAGCAGUGAGCGUGAGGACCUCGGGAAGGUUGGGGAACCCAACACCUGCAACACAGUGCUGCUGGUUCAGGGAAAUUCGGCCCCGUGGGACUGCUGCUCCCCCCUCUUCGUCCCUUCCUCAAGCUGGUGUGUGCCAUUUGCAGGCAGGUUUCCUUUGGCCUCUGCCCUCCUGCUGUUUUUCCCUCUCAACGUGAGUAUGAGUGUGCUGCGGUCUCAUGGAGCUGGAAGGUGAGUCUGGGCAGAGGAGGUGGCUGGGGACCCCACAGAGGCCGUUCUUCUUCCCGGGCAACCACAGUGACCUCUGCUGUCACCAAGCAAGUCUGAGCACUUGUGCUCUGCUGCAGAGGAGAGGUUUUAUUCCAGCUUACCCUGGAGGUCCUCUAUAAUGUACUGGGCGCUGUACCUUGCAGAAAUUCUCAUUUGUGGUCAUGUCCCGUAUGCUGCUGGUAUUGAAAAAUGCAGCUCCUGGUAUUUGAAGAAAAGCCUCCAGCUGUGCUGGAAUGUGGCAGUGUCCUCAGAGGCCCCUCCGUUAGCCCUUAGCAGCAGCCCCAGCCUCCUGCCACAAAUGAGGCAGGGGAGGAAAUGAGUUUGCAAUGAUGUGUUUUUCAGACGUGGUGAAGCCUGUGCUGGUGGCAGCCGCAAGAAGAGCUGUCUGGUGGUUUCCAGGGCUGUCUGCACUCAGAGAAAGCUGUAGAGUAUUUCUAAUGUGACGGGAAACAUCCUCCGUUGUUUCUCCUCUAUAUUUGACUGAAAAGAAGCUGCCCGCCUGCGCAGUGGUACCCACCUCUGCUUUCUGGGCCCUGUGCAAUUUGGAGAGUGACAACUUACCUUAACUAUUGCAGCAUUGACCACUUCACCAAGUUCUCCCGGGCAUUGCGGUCCCUGCUUCCUGCCACGGCUCCUGAUUCCUGCAUGGAAACCAUCAGCAAUACCAAGCGGAUGGAGAGGGCGGCCUUUCAUAGAAUCGUAGCCUUCAGGACUCUGGGGUGCCACAACUCUUGUUUGAAACAAACCACCACUGUGGCAUUCGGUGCAGCUAAUGACAGGGAAGCUCAAACCUGGCAACUGCUACCUUAAAAAAGUAAUAGAAAAAGGAAACAAAACUCCUGGGAAAGCUGUGCAUACAUAGCAAACGAGGAGCAAUGGGCAUGCAAACAACACGGUAAACUGCUUCAUAGGGCACCUGAUUAAGUGAUAUAAAGAAAGCAUCCAGCCCGUGUGUUUCCCAGCUCCUGCAGUGCUGCAUGGACCGUGAGUAUGCACAGGAAGGUGUCUGAACACCUUCAUGUGCCAGCGAGGCUUGGCACGUGAUGCCUUCAGCCGUGGUUCAGCUGCUGGGGAAGGAGUGGCAGUGCUGUGCUCCCCAGCUCGGUGUGAACCUGAAGGAGAGAGGCAGAGAAACGGAGGAGGCAGGUGCUAUACGGCAUGUGGUGAAAGAGAUCGGCUGGCUUGUCGUGCAGCUCAGCCCUCCUGCCCUCCCCAGUCCUGCUCCCUGUCUUGCCAGGAGUGCACUUGGGUAGAAAGUCCUCUUGCUACCUGCUUGUGCUCUCGGCACCUCUGCUGCCACUCUGGUGGCCUCUAGCAACUGCCCCUGUGUUGUACACAACAGGAACAUCGGGGUGAGUAUGCACAACUGUUUGGCACCACGGAGUGUUGGCUGUCCCCUGAAGUGAGGGGCCGUUCAGGUUAAUCUCUCACACCCCCGUCGUGUCGUGAUGCCCAUCUCAUGUGUUCUCCAUCUGCCUGUGUUUCUGCGUGGUUGCUGAGUAAGGAGCAAAGGCUUGAGAUGUUGGGUGGCUUGGCCUUCUUUCUGGGAAGCCUUCAUACUCAGUUUUGCUGAAGGAAGGAGCAGACUGAGAGAACCGUCGAUCCCCUCUUAGGGGCAAGAGGGAAGGAGCGGGGACGCGGUCACAGUGACUCCGCUGUCCCCAGUACCUGCCUGGGAUGUCUGUGCAGGAGCUAAAACAACUCUAUACCCCGCUCCAAUCACGUCACUGAAUUUUCAAAGGGCUCAAUAAAAUGUUUUGGUUGACUUAAUCCAAAAUGCUCCUGGCAUUUUCGCUGGCCAACAUCUAGUUACUGUGUCACGAGAGUGACUGGGGAAGAUGUGCUUCCAGCGCAGCUUUUUUUGUACCAAAUUGCCAGCAUGGAGGGCUCGGACCACAGAUCCACCUUUCAGGUAAGGCCUCACCCACAGCCACUCACAGCACUGUUCCCAGCCAGUUCCUGCCCUGGUAC